This is a long non-coding RNA of Alligator sinensis (Chinese alligator), 1351 nucleotides long. RefSeq lists it as uncharacterized. The transcript has 3 exons. The record is from RefSeq and is a predicted model, not a curated record. NCBI's taxonomy places the organism in Eukaryota, Metazoa, Chordata, Crocodylia, Alligatoridae.
GUGAGGCUCCCAGGAGUAAUAAACUCUGGCACGAUAUGCACUGCAGUUUAUUGUUCCAUACUAACAGCACAUAUAGAGGCACCCAGUAACUGCUAAGAAAUAUACAUCCUGGCCAUGCUGCUUCUUUCCUAUAGCUGACUGCCUUCUCAGAGACCAGGACGAGGGGAGAACACAAGACUUACUGCUGCAAACCUGCACUACCGGAGGAACCUGCGAUUCAAAAGGAAGCCUCCACAUAACAGAAGAAGAUAUCUGAGUGCACAUGAGCAAGUUUUUUGUGUAGAUUGACAGAAGACCAUUUCAGAGCUGAGGAUGGUGCAAUCCAUGAGCAGAGAGAUAGCUAGCUGUGCUACUCUGAUGUCAGGCAGAAGAUAAGGAGGCAGCUUCUAAAGAAGGACUUAGAGAAGGGAUGGAUAAUUGGAUGCAGGUUCAAACCUCCUGUGGCCAAGGUGACCUAGAACAUCAGUCUCUGGCAUCCUCUGCAAGUUCCGUAACCAUUGAGGUCUUGAGCCAAAAAACAUGGGAGGGCUCUUCUCCUGUCUAACAGUUGCUAGUCAUGGGAUUUUGUCUGGUUACAAGUUUGUGACUUACACACAUGCACAGAGUAUGCAUAUGUAGCCAUGUAUCAGCACAGCCCAUACAUAGCUUCCUGCUACAUGCUCAAGGCGGGUCCACACUGCCCAUAGAAUAGAACUGCAAACUGCACAUACAUGCUAAGAAAGCCACUUACACAACUGGAAAAACUACCAUCUGAGCACACAUACUGGAACAGGACUUCACGCUCGGUAUCCAGUCUAAGCAUAGAAAUGGUGAGGGGAGAAUGAGGAAAAGUUAAAAAAAAAAUUACUCCUCUCCAAAACACCUAUGGUUCUAUAAGAGUAAGUGCAGCUAGUUUAAUUGAUGCACAUCCUUAUAUAGGGCUGCUGUGAGUUUCUCUGGUCUUCUCUUGUUACAGAGGGGAGAGAAACCAUGAGACUGUACCUGGCCGACUGCUGUCCUGCCUGUCAGAUCCCUACUAGGAACAAGAGACAAGGAAGAGAAACAGUCCAAACAUGGCUUGUCAAGGAAUUGUACGCAUUGGCACAUUUAAAAAAAUUGCAUGUCAGACUCAUUGCCAAUGAUCUACUGACUAGACACUCUACUAUGUCCAAUUGGUGCAUCCAAUGUACCUGCUACUGUGUAAUUUCAGUGCAUUUGGAAAUUAGAUUUAUAUGCUAUAAUUCUCUAAAUACAAUUUAAUCUGUGUAGAACUAAUACUGUCCUAAGAGUACCUUUAUAUACCUAUUUUGCCUUAGCUAAGAGGAAUCUAUGUUUUACUGCUUCAGGGUAAUGCAAUCAUUAAAAUUUAUGU